This 254-nucleotide long non-coding RNA is filed under the name Mytilus galloprovincialis (Mediterranean mussel). The record is from RNAcentral. Lineage: Eukaryota; Metazoa; Mollusca; Bivalvia; Mytilida; Mytilidae.
AAGCAACCAACAAUCAAUCAAUCACAAACUAUUAUACAGAAAAUACAAAAUGAGCUGUCACUUUUGAAAUUGAGACAAAGUUGGAAGGAAAUAAAGAAAGAAAAUGCAUGCCUUCGAAACUUUAUGACCGGGCGAAAAUGUUCUAAAACUAUAUUGUGCAACAUGCCUCAAGUUGAAAUCGUGUUUUAGUUGUUUUUAUACAGACCCCGUUAGAUAAAAAUUUAGGUGGCAAACAACUGGAUCAAAAUACAUAC